This 222-nucleotide ribosomal RNA is filed under the name uncultured bacterium. RNAcentral describes it as "partial 16S ribosomal RNA". It matches the Rfam family "Bacterial small subunit ribosomal RNA", at positions 524 to 745 of the family's 1533-position model. The record is from RNAcentral.
UACGAAGGGGGCUAGCGUUGUUCGGAAUUAUUGGGCGUAAAGAGCUCGUAGGCGGUCUGUCACGUCGGCUGUGAAAUCCCGAGGCUCAACCUCGGGCCUGCAGUCGAUACGGGCAAACUAGAGUAUUGCAGGGGAGACUGGAAUUCCUGGUGUAGCGGUGAAAUGCGCAGAUAUCAGGAGGAACACCGGUGGCGAAGGCGGGUCUCUGGGCAAUAACUGACG